This 393-nucleotide ribosomal RNA is filed under the name uncultured bacterium. RNAcentral describes it as "partial 16S ribosomal RNA". It matches the Rfam family "Bacterial small subunit ribosomal RNA", at positions 523 to 918 of the family's 1533-position model. The record is from RNAcentral.
AUACGGAGGAUGCGAGCGUUAUCCGGAUUUAUUGGGUUUAAAGGGAGCGUAGGUGGGAUAUUAAGUCAGCUGUGAAAGUUUGGGGCUCAACCUUAAAAUUGCAGUUGAUACUGGUUUCCUUGAGUACGGUACAGGUGGGCGGAAUUCGUGGUGUAGCGGUGAAAUGCUUAGAUAUCACGAAGAACUCCGAUCGCGAAGGCAGCUCACCGGGCCGGAACUGACACUGAUGCUCGAAAGUGCGGGUAUCAAACAGGAUUAGAUACCCUGGUAGUCCACACAGUAAACGAUGAAUACUCGCUGUUUGCGAUAUACAGUAAGCGGCCAAGCGAAAGCAUUAAGUAUUCCACCUGGGGAGUACGCCGGCAACGGUGAAACUCAAAGGAAUUGACGGGG